RNAcentral lists this ribosomal RNA (155 nucleotides) under Tovomita guianensis. RNAcentral describes it as "5.8S ribosomal RNA". The stretch from base 45 to 155 matches the Rfam family "5.8S ribosomal RNA", at positions 1 to 111 of the family's 154-position model. Rfam says of the family: 5.8S ribosomal RNA (5.8S rRNA) is a component of the large subunit of the eukaryotic ribosome. It is transcribed by RNA polymerase I as part of the 45S precursor that also contains 18S and 28S rRNA. The record is from RNAcentral. Lineage: Eukaryota; Viridiplantae; Streptophyta; Magnoliopsida; Malpighiales; Clusiaceae.
GKUGCGUGCGUCGGGGGUCGGCUCCUUCCAGUCGUAAACAAAACGACUCUCGGCAACGGAUAUCUCGGCUCUCGCAUCGAUGAAGAACGUAGCGAAAUGCGAUACUUGGUGWGAAYWGSAGARUCCYGUGAACCAUCGAGUCUUUGAACGCAAGU